GAAGUUCGCCAGGCAGUCGCUGCAUGCCUUCGGGUAUGUGGAGGAAAGUCCGGGCCCCGCAGAGCAGGAUGCCGGCUAACGGCCGGGCGUCGUGAGGCGACGGAAAGUGCAACAGAAAGCAAACCGCCGAUGGCCUUCGCAAGAGGGAUCAGGUAAGGGUGAAACGGUGCUCCGUGACGCGCAAGCGUGAUGGGGGUCGGGGUGCAAACCUCGGCGGGUAAGAGCCCACCGCAGGACUGGUAACAGGACUGGCACGGCAAACCCCAUCCGGGGCAAGGCCAAAUAGGGGAGUAAUGGCGUGGCUCGCGUCGCUCCCGGGUAGGCUGCUAGAGCUUCACGGUAACGUGUCGCCCAGAGGAAUGACUGCCCGAUGAUCCGGUUUGCGCCGGGUCGUUCGACAGAACCCGGCUUAUCGGCGAACUUCCCAA
This 428-nucleotide RNase P RNA is filed under the name Azoarcus sp. Its description in RNAcentral is "RNase P RNA component class A". It matches the Rfam family "Bacterial RNase P class A". From Rfam's summary of the family: Ribonuclease P (RNase P) is a ubiquitous endoribonuclease, found in archaea, bacteria and eukarya as well as chloroplasts and mitochondria. Its best characterised activity is the generation of mature 5'-ends of tRNAs by cleaving the 5'-leader elements of precursor-tRNAs. Cellular RNase Ps are ribonucleoproteins. The record is from RNAcentral. Lineage: Bacteria; Pseudomonadati; Pseudomonadota; Betaproteobacteria; Rhodocyclales; Zoogloeaceae.